GAGUUUGAUCCUGGCUCAGGACGAACGCUGGCGGCGCGCCUAACACAUGCAAGUCGAACGAGAGAGAGGAAGCUUGCUUCCUCAAUCGAGUGGCGAACGGGUGAGUAACGCGUGAGGAACCUGCCUCAAAGAGGGGGACAACAGUUGGAAACGACUGCUAAUACCGCAUAAGCCCACAGGUCGGCAUCGACCAGAGGGAAAAGGAGCAAUCCGCUUUGAGAUGGCCUCGCGUCCGAUUAGCUAGUUGGUGAGGUAAUGGCCCACCAAGGCGACGAUCGGUAGCCGGACUGAGAGGUUGAACGGCCACAUUGGGACUGAGACACGGCCCAGACUCCUACGGGAGGCAGCAGUGGGGAAUAUUGCACAAUGGGGGAAACCCUGAUGCAGCGACGCCGCGUGGAGGAAGAAGGUCUUCGGAUUGUAAACUCCUGUUGUUGAGGAAGAUAAUGACGGUACUCAACAAGGAAGUGACGGCUAACUACGUGCCAGCAGCCGCGGUAAAACGUAGGUCACAAGCGUUGUCCGGAAUUACUGGGUGUAAAGGGAGCGCAGGCGGGAAGACAAGUUGGAAGUGAAAUCUAUGGGCUCAACCCAUAAACUGCUUUCAAAACUGUUUUUCUUGAGUAGUGCAGAGGUAGGCGGAAUUCCCGGUGUAGCGGUGGAAUGCGUAGAUAUCGGGAGGAACACCAGUGGCGAUAGCGGCCUACUGGGCACCAACUGACGCUGAGGCUCGAAAGUGUGGGUAGCAACAGGAUUAGAUACCCUGGUAGUCCACACCGUAAACGAUGAUUACUAGGUGUUGGAGGAUUGACCCCUUCAGUGCCGCAGUUAACACAAUAAGUAAUCCACCUGGGGAGUACGACCGCAAGGUUGAAACUCAAAGGAAUUGACGGGGGCCCGCACAAGCAGUGGAGUAUGUGGUUUAAUUCGACGCAACGCGAAGAACCUUACCAAGUCUUGACAUCCUGCGACGCACAUAGAAAUAUGUGUUUCCUUCGGGACGCAGAGACAGGUGGUGCAUGGUUGUCGACAGCUCGUGUCGUGAGAUGUUGGGUUAAGUCCCGCAACGAGCGCAACCCUUACUGUCAGUUACUACGCAAGAGGACUCUGGCAGGACUGCCGUUGACAAAACGGAGGAAGGUGGGGAUGACGUCAAAUCAUCAUGCCCUUUAUGACUUGGGCUACACACGUACUACAAUGGCGUUAAACAAAGAGAAGCAAGACCGCGAGGUGGAGCAAAACUCAGAAACAACGUCCCAGUUCGGACUGCAGGCUGCAACUCGCCUGCACGAAGUCGGAAUUGCUAGUAAUCGUGGAUCAGCAUGCCACGGUGAAUACGUUCCCGGGCCUUGUACACACCGCCCGUC
RNAcentral lists this ribosomal RNA (1367 nucleotides) under uncultured bacterium. RNAcentral's name for it is "bacterial SSU rRNA". It matches the Rfam family "Bacterial small subunit ribosomal RNA". The record is from RNAcentral.